Long non-coding RNA from Gopherus evgoodei (Goodes thornscrub tortoise), 373 nucleotides. RefSeq lists it as uncharacterized. NCBI's taxonomy places the organism in Eukaryota, Metazoa, Chordata, Testudines, Testudinidae. The record is from RefSeq and is a predicted model, not a curated record. The transcript has 3 exons.
CAGGGAAGCUCCACCCGCCCCCGCGUUAAUCACCGCGCGCGCAUGCGCGGUAAUUCUGGUCUUCAAAAGCCGUGCCCCGACCAUUGAAACCAAUUGCGCGAACGUUAAAGGGCCGCGAGAGGAGGACGCCCGGUUGUGUACUCCUGAGAGUCAGGACUGUCCAUUUUGAGUAUUUGGAAAAUGCCUGGCACAUAGCAGGCACUACAAUCAUUAAUCUCUGUAGAUGUCAUUACAUUAAACAUAUCACUGGACAUUGGCAACACCAGGAGGGAUGAGCUGGAGUGCCGAUGAGAAGCGCAGUCAGGAAAAUAACUGAAAUACUUUCCUGAUAGGGCCAGCCCACAACAUUUUGGCACCUGAGGCAGGGAGCUCA